RNAcentral lists this ribosomal RNA (264 nucleotides) under uncultured archaeon. Its description in RNAcentral is "partial 16S ribosomal RNA". It matches the Rfam family "Archaeal small subunit ribosomal RNA", at positions 717 to 982 of the family's 1478-position model. The record is from RNAcentral.
AGACGUCUACAUUAGAUACCCGGGUAGUCCCAGCCGUAAACUAUGCGCGUUAGGUGUAUCGGUGACCACGAGUUACCGAGGUGCCGAAGGGAAACCGUGAAACGUGCCGCCUGGGAAGUACGGUCGCAAGGCUGAAACUUAAAGGAAUUGGCGGGGAGCACCACAACGGGUGGAGCCUGCGGUUUAAUUGGACUCAACGCCGGGAAGCUCACCGGAUAGGACAGCAGAAUGAUUGCCGGGCUGAAGACCCUGCAUGACUAGCUG